GAUCCUGGCUCAGAAUCAACGCUGGCGGCGCGCUUAACACAUGCAAGUCGAACGAGAAAGGGGAGCAAUCCCUGAGUAAAGUGGCGUACGGGUGAGUAACACGUGGGUAAUCUACCUUUUGGUGGGGAAUAACGCUGGGAAACCGGCGCUAACACCGCAUGAGCUAGCCACUUGAGGUGGUUAGGAAAAGAGAAAUCUGCCGAAAGAGGAGCCCGCGGCUGAUUAGCUAGUUGGUGAGGUAAAGGCUCACCAAGGCAAUGAUCGGUAGCCGGCCUGAGAGGGCACACGGCCACACUGGCACUGAAACACGGGCCAGACUCCUACGGGAGGCAGCAGUGGGGAAUCUUGCACAAUGGGGGAAACCCUGAUGCAGCGACGCCGCGUGAGUGAUGAAGCCCUUCGGGGUGUAAAGCUCUUUCGGCAGGGACGAUAAUGACGGUACCUGAAGAAGAAGCUGCGGCUAACUACGUGCCAGCAGCCGCGGUAAUACGUAGGCAGCGAGCGUUGUUCGGAGUUACUGGGCGUAAAGAGUGCGUAGGCGGUUUUCUAAGUUUGGUGUGAAAUCUCCCGGCUCAACUGGGAGGGUGCGCCGAAGACUGGAAGGCUAGAGUGUGGGAGAGGUAAGCGGAAUUCCUGGUGUAGCGGUGAAAUGCGUAGAUAUCAGGAGGAACACCUGCGGUGUAGACGGCU
RNAcentral lists this ribosomal RNA (690 nucleotides) under uncultured Acidobacteriota bacterium. Its description in RNAcentral is "bacterial SSU rRNA". It matches the Rfam family "Bacterial small subunit ribosomal RNA", at positions 15 to 726 of the family's 1533-position model. Lineage: Bacteria; Pseudomonadati; Acidobacteriota. The record is from RNAcentral.